RNAcentral lists this ribosomal RNA (459 nucleotides) under uncultured bacterium. RNAcentral's name for it is "partial 16S ribosomal RNA". It matches the Rfam family "Bacterial small subunit ribosomal RNA", at positions 338 to 795 of the family's 1533-position model. The record is from RNAcentral.
CCUACGGGCGGCAGCAGUGAGGAAUAUUGGUCAAUGGGCGGGAGCCUGAACCAGCCAAGUCGCGUGAAGGAAGAAGGUACUUAGUAUUGUAAACUUCUUUUGUCGGGGAACAAAGGCGGAGACGCGUCUCCGGAUGAGUGUACCCGAAGAAAAAGCAUCGGCUAACUCCGUGCCAGGAGCCGCGGUAAUACGGAGGAAGCGAGCGUUAUCCGUAUUUAUUGGGUUGAAAGGGUGCGCAGGGGGGAGAUCAAGGCAGCGGUAAAAUUUCGGGGCGCAACCCCGUCGUGCCGUUGAAACUGGCGUUCUUGAGUGAGCGAGAAGUAUGCGGAAUGCGUGGUGUAGCGGUGAAAUGCAUAGAUAUCACGCAGAACUCCGAUUGCGAAGGCAGCAUACCGGCGCUCAACUGACGCUCAUGCACGAAAGCGUGGGUAUCGAACAGGAUUAGAUACCCGGGUAGUC